CACACAAAAAAAACGGCAUUCACGAAGACUUGAUCCUACCGAUAACAAGGGACGCUUUGUCAGUGUUCAAACUGCGCAGUUUUUCCAAAUCACAUUGCCUGGGAGCCUGAACACUACCACUGUUCUUCACCAGUUUUUCAGAAAGCAGAGAUGAAGAGGCCAGGGGAUAUAGCCUACUGUCCAGGAAAUCUACAAAAAAUGAUGAAGAGGAAGGAGUAUUCUGUUUUCAGUGUGAACCAAGUGGAUUUCCAACAAGCGAGAUAUUUUGCUCACAGACUGAAUAGGAAAUUUGAAAAUAAUAAUUCAACUGUAAUGCCCAGGUGGUCAAGAAAAUAUUCUGAAAUGUAAUGUCAGUCAUUUUGUAAUGCAGUUGCUCUAUUCCACAUGAUUCUUUCUCGCACCUACUUAUGAAGGUUUCACUUUUUGUUUGUGAACAUAGCUUGCUUAAAUAUUAACUAUCCUAAUGAAUGUAUUCAUAUUGUCACACUUUACAUAACUAAUACAUAGCCUGGCUAGCAAGGUAGCAAAAUAAUAUUGUGCUAAAUGCCCAGGUGCUUCUUGAAUAUUCAUGAACGUAUUCAUGUACAAAAAUUUAUGUAUCACCCUCUGCCAAGUGUAAAAUGUAAUGCAAUAUUAGCGUUAUUAUGUUGUACAGAUAACUGACAAAAUAAAGGAACGACUUGA
Long non-coding RNA from Anguilla rostrata (American eel), 684 nucleotides. RefSeq lists it as uncharacterized. The record is from RefSeq and is a predicted model, not a curated record. The transcript is spliced from 2 exons. Lineage: Eukaryota; Metazoa; Chordata; Actinopteri; Anguilliformes; Anguillidae.